GGCAAGUCCGGGCAAGAGGCGGGGGUAAUACGGGGGUGGGGAGCGUUUUCCGGAAUCACUGGGCGUAAAGGGCGUGUAGGCGGGACGUUAAGUCUGGUUUUAAAGACCGCAGCUCAACUGCGGGAGUGGACUGGAUACUGGCGUUCUAGACCUCUGGAGAGGUAACUGGAAUUUCUGGUGUAGCGGUGGAAUGCGUAGAUACCAGAAGGAACACCAAUGGCGAAGGCAGGUUACUGGACAGAAGGUGACGCUGAGGCGCGAAAGUGUGGGGAGCAAACCGGAUUAGAUACCCUGGUAGUC
This 300-nucleotide ribosomal RNA is filed under the name uncultured Costertonia sp. RNAcentral's name for it is "bacterial SSU rRNA". It matches the Rfam family "Bacterial small subunit ribosomal RNA", at positions 496 to 795 of the family's 1533-position model. Lineage: Bacteria; Pseudomonadati; Bacteroidota; Flavobacteriia; Flavobacteriales; Flavobacteriaceae. The record is from RNAcentral.